GUUGAACGCUGGCGGCGUGCCUUAUACAUGCAAGUCGAGCGAACGGACGAGAAGCUUUCUUGUCUGAUGUUAGCGGCGUACGUGUUAUUAACACGUGUAUAACCUACCUAUAAGACUGGUAUAACUUCGUAAAACCGUACCUAAUACCAUAUGAUAUUGUGAAUCGCAUGGUUCAAAAGUUAAUGACUUUCUUGCUGCCACUUAUUGAUUGAUCCGCUCUGGAUUAGCUAGUUGGUAAGGUAAAGGCUUACCAAGGCAACGAUGCGUAGCCGGUCUGAGAGGAUGACCAGCCACACUGGAACUGAGACACGGUCCAGACUCCUACGGGAGGCAGCAGUGGGGAAUUUUGCACAAUGGGCGCAAGCCUGAUCGAGCAAUGCCGCGUGAGUGAAGAAGGCCUUCGGAUUGUAAAGCUCUGUUAUCAGGGAAGAAAAGGUAGAGGCGAAAAUGCUGAGAUAAUGACGGUACCUGAAGAAAAAGCACCGGCUAACUACGUG
This 497-nucleotide ribosomal RNA is filed under the name uncultured bacterium. Its description in RNAcentral is "partial 16S ribosomal RNA". It matches the Rfam family "Bacterial small subunit ribosomal RNA", at positions 28 to 507 of the family's 1533-position model. The record is from RNAcentral.